Schistosoma haematobium is the source of this 48-nucleotide non-coding RNA. NCBI's taxonomy places the organism in Eukaryota, Metazoa, Platyhelminthes, Trematoda, Strigeidida, Schistosomatidae. The record is from Rfam.
AUCCAUCUAACCAGUUCCAAAUAGGACGAAACGCGCGUCAAACAGGAU